AGAGUUUGAUCCUGGCUCAGGAUGAACGCUGGCGGCGUGCUUAACACAUGCAAGUCGAACGGGAAAUAUUUCAUUGAGGCUUCGGUGGAUUUGAUCUAUUUCUAGUGGCGGACGGGUGAGUAACGCGUGGGUAACCUGCCUUAUACAGGGGGAUAACAGUCAGAAAUGGCUGCUAAUACCGCAUAAGCGCACAGAGCUGCAUGGCUCAGUGUGAAAAACUCCGGUGGUAUAAGAUGGACCCGCGUUGGAUUAGCUUGUUGGCAGGGUAACGGCCUACCAAGGCGACGAUCCAUAGCCGGCCUGAGAGGGUGAACGGCCACAUUGGGACUGAGACACGGCCUAGACUCCUACGGGAGGCAGCAGUGGGGAAUAUUGCACAAUGGGGGAAACCCUGAUGCAGCGACGCCGCGUGAAGGAAGAAGUAUCUCGGUAUGUAAACUUCUAUCAGCAGGGAAGAUAGUGACGGUACCUGACUAAGAAGCCCCGGCUAACUACGUGCCAGCAGCCGCGGUAAUACGUAGGGGGCAAGCGUUAUCCGGAUUUACUGGGUGUAAAGGGAGCGUAGACGGUGUGGCAAGUCUGAUGUGAAAGGCAUGGGCUCAACCUGUGGACUGCAUUGGAAACUGUCAUACUUGAGUGCCGGAGGGGUAAGCGGAAUUCCUAGUGUAGCGGUGAAAUGCGUAGAUAUUAGGAGGAACACCAGUGGCGAAGGCGGCUUACUGGACGGUAACUGACGUUGAGGCUCGAAAGCGUGGGGAGCAAACAGGAUUAGAUACCCUGGUAGUCCACGCCGUAAACGA
Molecule: ribosomal RNA, 800 nt
Filed under: uncultured bacterium
Lineage: Bacteria
Description: bacterial SSU rRNA
Rfam family: Bacterial small subunit ribosomal RNA
Source: RNAcentral